UGAUUUCUUUUCCUCUGUCGAGAUCCAAGUCUGUUUUCCUUUCCCGACCGAUCCCUCCCCUUGCUUGGUGCUUAGUGCCCCUACGCGCUGAAUUACGUAGACCCAGCCUCUCUCUCUUUCUCUCGUUCGCAUAGACUUCGUUUCACACCAGUCCCAAUUCCUGGAAUUCCAGCCUUCCUUGCUGGGGACCAGCAAGUACGGUAUUCCUUCCAAAAUCGACCCCGAAAAUCCACCGGUGCUGCAUUUCCCUCCCUUGCCAAUGAUACUCAACUCCAUUCUUUAAAACUUCCAACAGCCAGCUGUGACAUCUUACAAGAUAUGGAAACUGAAAAGAAAGACAAUACCUCAUGACAAAAUAAAGGCAUCAUCUGGCUUUUUUUUUUUUUUUUAAAUCGCUAAAGUAUAAUUAAACGGUUCUUCAGAAGCGGCACCACGUCGGCAGACUGGGUCCCAGCGAACUCCCCUGCGGGGAGCAGCGAGGCACUGAGCGAGCCGCUCGACAAGCCCCUAGA
This is a long non-coding RNA of Polyodon spathula (Mississippi paddlefish), 512 nucleotides long. RefSeq lists it as uncharacterized. NCBI's taxonomy places the organism in Eukaryota, Metazoa, Chordata, Actinopteri, Acipenseriformes, Polyodontidae. The record is from RefSeq and is a predicted model, not a curated record. The transcript has 3 exons.